UACGUAGGGUGCGAGCGUUAAUCGGAAUUAUUGGGCGUAAAGAGCUCGUAGGCGGUUUCGUAAGUCGGAUGUGAAAACUCCAGGCUCAACUUGGAGACGCCAUUCGAUACUGCGAUGACUUGAGUCCGGUAGGGGAGUGUGGAAUUCCUGGUGUAGCGGUGAAAUGCGCAGAUAUCAGGAGGAACACCGAUGGCGAAGGCAGGUCUCUGGGCCACUACUGACGCUGAGAAGCGAAAGCAUGGGGAGCGAACAGG
RNAcentral lists this ribosomal RNA (254 nucleotides) under uncultured bacterium. Its description in RNAcentral is "partial 16S ribosomal RNA". It matches the Rfam family "Bacterial small subunit ribosomal RNA", at positions 524 to 776 of the family's 1533-position model. The record is from RNAcentral.